AGAGUUUGAUCAAUGGCUCAGAACGAACGCUUGGCGGCGUGCUUAACACAUGCAAGUCGAACGCGAAAAGGGAGCAAUCCCGAGUAGAGUGGCGAACGGGUGAGUAACACGUGGGUAAUCUGCCCUCGAGCGGGGGAUAACGUUCCGAAAGGAGCGCUAAUACCGCAUAACUCGACGGGGACCCUGGUCCCUGUCGGCAAAGAUGGCCUCUGCUUGCAAGCUAUCGCUUGAGGAGGAGCUCGCGCCCCAUUAGGUAGUUGGUGAGGUAAUGGCUCACCAAGCCCGCGAUGGGUAGCCGGCCUGAGAGGGUGGCCGGCCACACUGGCACUGAGAUACGGGCCAGACUCCUACGGGAGGCAGCAGUGAGGAAUUUUGGGCAAUGGGCGAAAGCCUGACCCAGCGACGCCGCGUGGGCGAUGAAGGCCUUCGGGUCGUAAAGCCCUGUUAGUUGGGAAGAAGCCCGUGUUUGUGCUAAUACCACGACGUGGGUGACAGUACCGACAGAGGAAAGCCCGGCCAACUACGUGCCAGCMGCCGCGGUAAUA
RNAcentral lists this ribosomal RNA (545 nucleotides) under bacterium enrichment culture clone Cont310_3130. Its description in RNAcentral is "bacterial SSU rRNA". It matches the Rfam family "Bacterial small subunit ribosomal RNA", at positions 8 to 525 of the family's 1533-position model. The record is from RNAcentral.